GUAAUAGUCUGGGAAGAGCUCGAUGGAGGGGGAUAACUACUGGAAACGGUAGCUAAUACCGCAUAACGUCGCAAGACCAAAGAGGGGGACCUUAGGGCCUCUUGCCAUCGGAUGUGCCCAGAUGGGAUUAGCUAGUAGGUGGGGUAAUGGCUCACCUAGGCGACGAUCCCUAGCUGGUCUGAGAGGAUGACCAGCCACACUGGAACUGAGACACGGUCCAG
This 221-nucleotide ribosomal RNA is filed under the name uncultured bacterium. Its description in RNAcentral is "partial 16S ribosomal RNA". It matches the Rfam family "Bacterial small subunit ribosomal RNA", at positions 110 to 334 of the family's 1533-position model. The record is from RNAcentral.